UACGUAGGGGGCAAGCGUUGUCCGGAUUUAUUGGGCGUAAAGAGCGUGUAGGCGGCCUGACAGGUCUGCUGUGAAAACUCGAGGCUCAACCUCGAGAUGUCGGCGGAAACCGUCUGGCUAGAGUCCGGAAGAGGAGAAUGGAAUUCCCGGUGUAGCGGUGAAAUGCGCAGAUAUCGGGAAGAACACCCGUGGCGAAGGCGGUUCUCUGGGACGGUACUGACGCUGAGACGCGAAAGCGUGGGGAGCGAACAGG
Molecule: ribosomal RNA, 253 nt
Filed under: uncultured bacterium
Lineage: Bacteria
Description: partial 16S ribosomal RNA
Rfam family: Bacterial small subunit ribosomal RNA
Source: RNAcentral